Long non-coding RNA from Piliocolobus tephrosceles (Ugandan red Colobus), 1646 nucleotides. The record is from Ensembl. Lineage: Eukaryota; Metazoa; Chordata; Mammalia; Primates; Cercopithecidae.
ACCACAUUUAUUAAAAACCACAUUUAUCAAAAACCAUAUUUAUUAAAAACCACAUUUAUUAAAAACCACAUUUAUUAAAAGAUACAUUUAUUACUUUUUUACUUAUGUACUUAUUUAAUUAUUUACUUUUUUUUUUUUUUUUUUUUUUUUACGGUGUUUAUUACAACAGGGAAAAAAAAAUAAUAUAAAAAAAAUAUGAUGUAUUUAUCUCAUGCUUAAAAUUAAAAAAUAUAAUAAAAUAUACAAAAUACGUUGUUUACUAUGCAUUAAUAAUUUUUUUUUUUUAUGUUCUCUUUUUUUUUUUUUUUAAACAUUCUCUAUUUCGCUUAUCCAAAUAUAAUUAAAAUAAUUGUUUUUUUAAACAAUCCUCUUAAUCUACUCUUUCCGAAAAAAAUAGAAAGCAAAAAAAAAAAAAAAAAAUAAAUGGAAAAAAAAAAUCAAAGUUCAUAUUAGCUAUAUUAAUAAAAAAUAUAUAUAUAUAGUUUAUAUAAUAAUUGUUAGAUAUAGGAACAAACAAUUUGAUUUAUUUGUAAUAUAUAUGAUAGUAACACCUUCUAAACGUUAGAGGAGACUGAGUAUAAGUUAUAAAAUAGUUGUAUAUAUUAAGUAGUUAUUUAUGUUUUUGUAUUUACUUUAAAUUAAAAUGUAUAAUAUAUUAUUGAAUGGGUAUUUUGAUAUUAUUACCUAAUUAAUAAUUAAAAAUAAUAGUUAUUAUAACAUUAUGGGUAACUAUAUAACACUUAAAAUAUUUGACAUAUAUAAUGACACAAAACAUAGCAUUAUAAAUAAAAUUAAAACAUCAGAAAAAGAAGAAAAAAAUGAAGCAAAUUCCUUGUUAAAUGAAAAUAUGCCUAUUAAUAAAAAAACAAAUAAUAAAAAUUUGUACAAUAAUCAAAACGAGCAAAUCAUUAACAAACAAAUUAAUAAUAAACUUAACAUAAAUGGAGAUAAUACAGAAAAUAAUGACAUAGAAAAAAUAAAAAAAGAAAAUUUUUAUUUAUUUGAUGAAAGUUUAAAUUCAAAUGAUAUUAAACACCCAUGUCAUGGUCAGUGGUUUAUGUUUUGGGUUUUUGCUGCUUAUUUAAAUGAAAAAUUUUCAGAAAGUGAAAAACAGUAUGUUCAUUCUUUUUAUGUCAAUUUUCCUGAGCAGUGUAUAAAAGGAAAAGGAAAAUACUGUUUCAAUGAAUUUUCAAAAAUUUAUCCGUUUAGAGCCGGGACAAGAGAAGAAUUAAUGAUGUGGUUGCAAAUGUGUGAAAAUUAUUGUAGAAAAAAGGCAGAACUACCUGUAAAAAUAUUUAAUUACAAUAAAUUAUUAAAAAGGUGGAGAUAUGAUGAUGGGUAUAUGUAACCGAACAAAGGUAAAUCCAUUUUUCAUUUAACUUUUUGAAAACACUGAUUUUCGUAUGUUAUACAUUUUUUUUUUAAUUGUUUUUAAAAUUUUCUUAGUUUUGAUACAGUAAUUCGUAUUAAAAAAGUGUAAUGUGUACGAUUUUUUUUUUUUUUUUUUUUUUUUUUUGGUAAAUGUAUGUGUUUAAUUUGAAAAUUUUACAAUUUAAUGGUAUAAUAUAUAUAUACAUACAGUCACUUAAAUGUUAAUUUUUAACUUUUGAAAUAAAAAAAAAUAAAAAAAAAAUUGCUAUAUUAUU